AUAAAAGAAAAGUGAAAAUAAAAUUAUUUCUCCAAUUAUAAUAUCUUUUGUUUUAAUUCAAAAUUAAUAAUUUUAUAAAUUUUCUUUUACUUUCAGCUAAUAAAAUUCAAUUGGACCUGGGAUUUGGCCUUGGUUAGCUGCUUCCGUUCAGGAAAGGAAAUUUGGUAGAAAUGUAAGGACUAAGUUCACCAAAGCUCAUAGACUAAGGUCUAGAGACUUUGGCAAGAAAUACCCCUUACCAUUUCUCCGGAAAAUAAAAGCUACAAAUUCAGAUGGGACCUGGACCGGAAAACUAAAUAUGAAAUAAUUUGGACCAAAUUAUGAUUCAAAAAGGUGUUGGUAACAAUUCGUAUUUCCUACAGAAAAACAGCGAGACUGAGGAAGAAGCAACACACUGAGGAAAAGAUCCCUGUCAGCGAGAAUAAAAUCGGUUUGACAAUUUGACACGAACGUGCGGAUAUGUGCAUUCUGGUUGGGCCAGUAAAAGUAUUCUUUGACCCUUCGAAGCGUCUUCCCAAAUCCUCCGUGCGGAGCCUGAGGUGGAUUGUGGCACUUGGCAAUUAUGUCUUGGGUUAAUUCGAGCGGGACCCAAAGUUUCCAAGCGAAGUCCUCGUUUAUCGGGACUCCAUCGUAAGGCAAAACUCGUUUGUAGACCAAAUCGUCUACUACCUUCAAAUCUGGUAAACGUUCUGCAUUUUCUUGGAUUGUGGCGAUUAAUUCCAGAAAGCUCCUCCAUGUCAUACCUCGACAAGGUGUCGGGUACUAUAUUUUUAGAACCUGGCCUGUGUUCGACGUUGAAGGCAAAUGACUGAAGAUGCAAGCUCCAUCUGGCAAGUCGACCGCUCAAGUCUUUGUGAGACAUUAGCCAUUUAAGGCUGCUGUGGUCAGUAAUGACUGUAAAGGGCAUCAACUCGAUGUAAGGCCUAAAUUUUUUAAUGGCCAUUACUACGGCCAAACACUCUCUCUCUGUGACCGAAUAGUUCUUCUGAGCGCUGGUCAAUUUAUGAGAAAAAAAAGCGAUGGGAUGCUCUCCGUCGUCUUCGUCCUUUUGAAAUAAGACAGCUCCCAAUCCAAGAUCCGAGGCAUCACACUGCACAUAAAAGUGCUUGUUAAAAUUGGGAUGAGUGAGCACUGGUGCGGUUGUUAGGGCUGUUUUCAGUCUAUCGAAGGCUUCUCUGGCAUCAUCGGGAAAGUUGAACGUUUUUCCUUUCUUAAGGGUGUUGAAGAUAGGAGUAGAAAUCGUCGCGUAGUCUGGGAUGAAGCGCCUGUACCAGCCAGUAGCUCCCAUGAAACUCCUGACCUGCCUAGCGGUUUUCGGGUACCUCAACUCUUUGAAGCAGAACUUAGAUUUCCCUACAUUUAUGGUCAGUCCUGCCGAAUCCAAACAAUGCGCUACUCGAUCCAGCAAUUCCAGGUGGGUUUUAAAGUCCGGAGAUACGAUCAAAAGAUCGUCUAGAUAGACAAAGACUCUAUCACGAAGUGCUGAGGGGAUCACUUUAUCCAUCAGACGGCAUAACCUUUGGGCUGCAUUACACAACCCGAAAGGCAUUACCGUAAAAUGGUAAAGUGGUCGUCCUGGCACCGUAAAUGCAGUCUUUUCUCUACUAGACGCAUCUAGUGGUAUCUGCCAGAAUGCGUCUUUAAGAUCUACGCUUGAUAUAAAAUAUGUGUCCCCUAACCGGCUGAGAAGACCUUCGAUGUGCGGCAGAGGAUAGGCGUCCUUAAUCGUGAGGGCAUUCAGCUUACGAGCGUCCAAGCACAAACGGUUCUUCUCGCCCCUACGGACGAGAGUAACCGGAUGGCUCCAAGGGCUCUCGCUUUGCUCAAUGACCCCAAGAUUAAGCAUCCUAUCAAGUUCUGCGUACAUCAACUUCUGCACAGCUGGUGAGACCGGAUAAUGCUUGUCCUUAACUGGAAUCGCGUCGCGAGUGUCGAUUGUAUGAGAUUCGAGGGAAGUCUGACCAAGUCCCUUCUUCGUAAAACAUGGAAAUUUCGCUACGAUGACAUCUAAUGACGCAUUCUGACUCGGAACGUAUAAAUCUUAACAAAGAAAAGGUUAAAACUCAAAAUGGAAAAGAAGAUUCAAAACUUAAUCUUGUGAACGGCGAUGUUUUUCGGGUAAGUAAUGUUUGCAGGAAAUGGAAAAAGUAAAUGGAUAAAUAAAAAAAAAAGGUAGUAUUUGUUCUACCGCAGCUCAAAUUUCAAGGGGCAUCUAGAAGAUUGGUGUUGAAAACCCAGUACGCCUAGGACUACCCUAUCUAUUUUACCGCAGACAAAACCGUUACUGCUUUCCCGCUCUAUUCCCUGGCGGCCAACUAAUUUUGCGGAAGAAUCUCCCGGGUGAGGAUAGGGUAGAUGGAUAUUUCCUGUCAGUGACGUGUCUAAAUGUCUAAGUGGUUCGAGGAGAAUUACCUAUAUAAGAUUUAGGAAAAUCUUGGGUUAAUUAACCUCGCGACUCACUGUUCCCUAGGCCAGAGCUCUAACCUAACUCGCGCACGCGUGGUUAAGGUUCACACGCGGGAUGGACUUUGCGAUACUUAAGACUUCCUAUUUUUUUAUAUAAAUAUCUCACUAAUCACCUUUUUUUUUUAUUUUAUAAAUAUUUCUUUUUUUUUU
Long non-coding RNA from Calliphora vicina (urban bluebottle blowfly), 2616 nucleotides. RefSeq lists it as uncharacterized. The transcript is spliced from 11 exons. The record is from RefSeq and is a predicted model, not a curated record. NCBI's taxonomy places the organism in Eukaryota, Metazoa, Arthropoda, Insecta, Diptera, Calliphoridae.